Molecule: ribosomal RNA, 254 nt
Filed under: uncultured bacterium
Lineage: Bacteria
Description: partial 16S ribosomal RNA
Rfam family: Bacterial small subunit ribosomal RNA
Source: RNAcentral
UACGUAGGGGGCAAGCGUUGUCCGGAUUUAUUGGGCGUAAAGAGCGUGUAGGCGGCCAUUCAGGUCAGCUGUGAAAACUCGAGGCUCAACCUCGAGACGUCGGUUGAAACCGUUUGGCUAGAGUCCGGAAGAGGAGAGUGGAAUUCCCGGUGUAGCGGUGAAAUGCGCAGAUAUCGGGAAGAACACCCGUGGCGAAGGCGGCUCUCUGGGACGGUACUGACGCUGAGACGCGAAAGCGUGGGGAGCGAACGAGG